Molecule: long non-coding RNA, 1039 nt
Organism: Dama dama (fallow deer)
Lineage: Eukaryota; Metazoa; Chordata; Mammalia; Artiodactyla; Cervidae
Exons: 3
Source: RefSeq, a predicted model, not a curated record
CUGGCGGGUUCUUCAAGUCUAAGGCUCCGUGGGGCGGCAGUGGGUGCGGCCUGGCCGACUGCCGCCUCUGCUGGCCCUCUUCCCCUGGCGAGAGCCCGCCUGGUGACAGAGGUACUGCGAUCCCUGAUUUGGUCAGCACUUGAAUUCCAAGUCACUGCUUAGAAGGCCUCCGACCUCCUGCUGGUCAUAGCUGCACGAGUGAAAGUGCAAGUCGCUCGGUCGUGUCUGACUCUUUGCAACCCCAAUGGACUGCAGCCCGCCAGGCUCCUCUGUCCACGGAAUUCUCCAGGCAAGAAUACUGGAGUGGGUAGCCAUUCCCUUCUCCAGGGGAUCUUGCCAACCCAGGGAUGGAACCCAGGUCUCCCGUAUUGCAGCUUCAUUCUGUACCAAGAGAGUCAUCAGGAAGAACAAUAUUUGGAUGGUCAGGAACAAUCAACCCUAUAAUGGAUGAUCUUCAACCUCGAUACAGACAGCUGGAUAAAGAUGGUGGGUGAUCACCAGAAAGACCAAGUCAUGAAUAGAAGAUUGAAACUAUUCAGUCUCACUCCCCAUCAUCCAGAGAAGAAUUGGAAAUGGAUUUAAUGAGUGAUCAUGCUUAUGUGAUGAAGUCUCUAUAAAAAUCUCUGCAGGAACUUCCCUGGUGGUCUAGUGGUUAAGAAUCUGCCUGCCGAUGCAGGGGUGGUGUUGCUGGUAGACAUGGGUUCAAUCCCUGGUCUGGAAAAUAAGAUCCCACAUUCCACACGGCAACUAAGCUCUGGUGCCACAACUAUUCAAGCCCAUGCACUGCCGAGAGCCAGUGCUCCACAACAAGAGAAGCCACCACAAUAAGAAGCCCCUACACUGUAACUAGAGAGGAACCGCCACUCCCUGCAACUAGAGAAAGCCACAGCGCAGCAGUGAAGAGCCCAUGCACAGCAAUGCAGACCCAGUGCUGCCAAAAGAACCACCCCAAAGUGCAGGUUUCAGAGAGCUUCCAGGUUGGUGAUGCAUAGGUGCUGGGAGAUUGGUGUACCUGGAGAAGGCACGGAGCUCUGCACCC